Non-coding RNA from Podarcis muralis (Common wall lizard), 337 nucleotides. Lineage: Eukaryota; Metazoa; Chordata; Lepidosauria; Squamata; Lacertidae. The record is from RefSeq and is a predicted model, not a curated record.
GUUGUGGGCUUUUCAUGUUGCAAACAGGCCUCCGGAACGGAUCCUGUUCAUAACCAGAGGUACCGCUGUAUGUGCUUGGUUCCCACCCCACCUCCUACUCAAAAUCUCUGCAUAAGGAGUUGCCAGCAUCUUCUCUGGAAGUUCCCAGCUGUGGGCCUAUCCCUGCGAGCCUUGCAGAGUUUUCAAAGGGAUUCCAAUCUACGCUUUCAAGUUGGAAGAAAAUUGCUUUCACACUUUAUAAAACUAAUCAAAAAAUUCCUUCUGCUACCCAUCUAGUUUUGAUUUGUAUUGGUUUGCCCAAUGAAGUAAUAAUAACAAUAAAUUACUCUUCAAACGA